UACGAAGGGGGCUAGCGUUGUUCGGAAUCACUGGGCGUAAAGCGCACGUAGGCGGACUUUCAAGUCAGGGGUGAAAUCCCGGGGCUCAACCUCGGAAUUGCCUUUGAUACUGUAAGUCUCGAGUCCGGAAGAGGUGGGUGGAAUUCCUAGUGUAGAGGUGAAAUUCGUAGAUAUUAGGAAGAACACCGGUGGCGAAGGCGGCCCACUGGUCCGGGACUGACGCUGAGGUGCGAAAGCGUGGGGAGCAAACAGG
This 253-nucleotide ribosomal RNA is filed under the name uncultured bacterium. Its description in RNAcentral is "partial 16S ribosomal RNA". It matches the Rfam family "Bacterial small subunit ribosomal RNA", at positions 524 to 776 of the family's 1533-position model. The record is from RNAcentral.